UACGUAGGGAGCAAGCGUUGUCCGGAAUCAUUGGGCGUAAAGCGCGCGUAGGCGGCCCGGUAAGCCCGUUGUGAAAGUCAAAGGCUCAACCUUUGAAUGCCGAUGGAUACUGCCGGGCUCGAGUCCGGAAGAGGCGAGUGGAAUUCCUGGUGUAGCGGUGGAAUGCGCAGAUAUCAGGAGGAACACCAAUAGCGAAGGCAGAUCUCUGGGCCGUAACUGACGCUGAGGAGCGAAAGCGUGGGGAGCGAACAGG
Molecule: ribosomal RNA, 253 nt
Filed under: uncultured bacterium
Lineage: Bacteria
Description: partial 16S ribosomal RNA
Rfam family: Bacterial small subunit ribosomal RNA
Source: RNAcentral